GAUGAACGCUGGCGGCGUGCCUAAUACAUGCAAGUCGAGCGAACAGACGAGGAGCUUGCUCCUCUGACGUUAGCGGCGGACGGGUGAGUAACACGUGGAUAACCUACCUAUAAGACUGGGAUAACUUCGGGAAACCGGAGCUAAUACCGGAUAAUAUAUUGAACCGCAUGGUUCAAUGGUGAAAGACGGUUUUGCUGUCACUUAUAGAUGGAUCCGCGCCGCAUUAGCUAGUUGGUAAGGUAACGGCUUACCAAGGCAACGAUGCGUAGCCGACCUGAGAGAGUGAUCGGCCACACUGGAACUGAGACACGGUCCAGACUCCUACGGGAGGCAGCAGUAGGGAAUCUUCCGCAAUGGGCGAAAGCCUGACGGAGCAACGCCGCGUGAGUGAUGAAGGUCUUCGGAUCGUAAAACUCUGUUAUUAGGGAAGAACAAAUGUGUAAGUAACUAUGCACGUCUUGACGGUACCUAAUCAGAAAGCCACGGCUAACUACGUG
RNAcentral lists this ribosomal RNA (497 nucleotides) under uncultured bacterium. RNAcentral describes it as "partial 16S ribosomal RNA". It matches the Rfam family "Bacterial small subunit ribosomal RNA", at positions 28 to 507 of the family's 1533-position model. The record is from RNAcentral.